UGCCACAGUACUAGUCAGGUCCCU
RNAcentral lists this non-coding RNA (24 nucleotides) under Mus musculus (house mouse). Lineage: Eukaryota; Metazoa; Chordata; Mammalia; Rodentia; Muridae. The record is from RNAcentral.